Molecule: long non-coding RNA, 1306 nt
Organism: Gallus gallus (chicken)
Lineage: Eukaryota; Metazoa; Chordata; Aves; Galliformes; Phasianidae
Source: Ensembl
AGAUAUGAGUUUCACUUUAAAAGCUAAAUGAAAGGUUGUAUUGCAAUAGCCUGCAAUUUUGAAAACAAUACAUGCCAGUAGUAGAAAGCUAAUAGCACUCAGUGAGAAGUAUUAGGUUAAUCUGAUUAAAUGUACCUUUAUUGGUUUUAGGGAAUAGUAUAAAUCAUUUAAUCCUCCUCAGUAGAAUAAUAGUCAUUAACAAAACAUUGCUUGUUAAUGGCUAUCUGAUCUAUGGUUUGCAGAAGCAAGUCAAUAAAGAAGUAAACUUAUUUCUUCUUAAAUAUCAGUGUCUGACAGAUAUAUUUUUAAAAAUACCUCAGGAAGUAAUUCUGGCAAAUAUCAAGAUAAGACCGAUACUUUCCUUCUGAUUUAGAUAAAUAUCUGCCACUUCAUAUCACUUCUGGCUGACACUGGUACUGCAAUGUAACCAUGAUGGAUGGUAACUAUCUAUUUAUCUAUCCGCAGGGAAAUAUAGUCUUACCAAAUUACAGUACUGGGAGGAGGCAAGGAAGAAAACUCAGCUGCUUAUCCAAAAGUCGAAAUGUAAAAUUAUAAAAUAUAAAGUCUGUUUUAUUUACAACUUCACUGUGGCAUGGGAAAAAUAGAAAAUGUAUUAACAAACUUGAAACACAUAUAGUAUAAGAGUACCAUUUUUUGUAAUGGAUCAGUCUGUCAGUCAUAGUUUCCUCUUACAGAAAGCAUGCUGAGCAUAACAAGCAGUGAGAGGGGCCAUGCAGUUAUGACAACUUCACGUUCUGCAGCUUUACAAGCAUCACUGCAGUGUCAAAACUUGGAGUACAAAACCAAACACAAAUAAAUCUUCCUCCCAGUCUUACCGCAAAACACUUCAGGACAUUACAAGAAGUGAACAGUUAACAUUAACACACAGGAAACAAGAUAAUGUUCCCAUUACGAGUCCUAUUCAAAGCACAUGAAAAAAGAAGAAAAGGUUGGGAAGACAGUGGAGAACCUACCUGUCAGACUGUUAUGUUGGACAGUUUACAUAUACUAAAAAAAAUAGUGUAUACUUUAAAUUGUUCUAUGCUAAGUGCAAAGGUUUAAAAUUAAUACCAAUUCUUAUAUUUUAAUUAUAAUCAGCAAGUAAACAAAGUGAGAUUUGGGGGGAGGAAUAUUUCCUGGAUAAACUCAUUAAUUGUGACAUAUGAUGAUGACUAAAAAAUAUGAAAAAUCCAGAGAGACACCUGGGGUUUUGAUACAUUUUAUAAUGUCUAAAAUGUUCUUUUUCCUGGGAAAGCUCCAUAACUUUGCUUUGAAUUUAUUUUUUAUUGUACAAGCUAAUAAUAAU